RNAcentral lists this RNase P RNA (399 nucleotides) under Paenibacillus tuaregi. RNAcentral describes it as "Bacterial RNase P class A". It matches the Rfam family "Bacterial RNase P class A". From Rfam's summary of the family: Ribonuclease P (RNase P) is a ubiquitous endoribonuclease, found in archaea, bacteria and eukarya as well as chloroplasts and mitochondria. Its best characterised activity is the generation of mature 5'-ends of tRNAs by cleaving the 5'-leader elements of precursor-tRNAs. Cellular RNase Ps are ribonucleoproteins. Lineage: Bacteria; Bacillati; Bacillota; Bacilli; Caryophanales; Paenibacillaceae. The record is from RNAcentral.
UUGACAGACAAUCGCCGGCAAGCUUGUCUUGCGGGAGGAAAGUCCGGGCUCCAUAGGGCAGGAUGCUGGAUAACGUCCAGUCGGCGCGAGCCGAAGGAUAGUGCCACAGAAAUGGACCGCCGAUGGCCGUUCUAUAGGAACGGAUCAGGCAAGGAUGGAACCGAGGUGUAAGAGACCCCGAGGAGCGUUGGUGACUUCGUUCCUGGUAAACCCCAUCUGGAGCAAGACCUAAUGGGACGCAGCUUCCUCGCUUGCGAAGAGGCAGCCUUUGCCCGAGGCGCGUCUGGGUUGGUCGCUUGAGCUGUGCAGCAAUGUACGGCCUAGAUAGAUGAUUGUCGCUUGUAGUGGGAGGGUAGUUCCCGUCUGAACCACCAAAGAGCACAGAACCCGGCUUACGGA